RNAcentral lists this ribosomal RNA (253 nucleotides) under uncultured bacterium. RNAcentral describes it as "partial 16S ribosomal RNA". It matches the Rfam family "Bacterial small subunit ribosomal RNA", at positions 524 to 776 of the family's 1533-position model. The record is from RNAcentral.
UACGUAGGGGGCAAGCGUUGUCCGGAUUUAUUGGGCGUAAAGAGCGUGUAGGCGGUUAGGUAGGUCCGUUGUGAAAACUCGAGGCUCAACCUCGAGACGCCGAUGGAAACCAUCUAACUAGAGUCCGGAAGAGGAGAGUGGAAUUCCUGGUGUAGCGGUGAAAUGCGCAGAUAUCAGGAAGAACACCCGUGGCUAAGGCGGCUCUCUAGUACGGUACUGACGCUGAGGCGCGAAAGCGUGGGGAGCAAACGGG